This 833-nucleotide ribosomal RNA is filed under the name Haptophyta environmental samples. RNAcentral describes it as "SSU rRNA". It matches the Rfam family "Eukaryotic small subunit ribosomal RNA", at positions 3 to 845 of the family's 1831-position model. The record is from RNAcentral. Lineage: Eukaryota; Haptophyta.
CCUGGUUGAUCCUGCCAGUAGUCAUAUGCUUGUCUCAAAGAUUAAGCCAUGCAUGUCUAAGUAUAAGCGACUAUACUGUGAAACUGCGAAUGGCUCAUUAAAUCAGUUAUGGUUUAUUUGAUGGUACCUACUACUUGGAUAACCGUAGUAAUUCUAGAGCUAAUACAUGCAGGAAGACCCGACUUCGGAAGGGUUGUAUUUAUUAGAUAAGAAACCAAUCCAGCUUGCUGGUUGUGUGCCGAGUCACAAUAACUGCUCGAAUCGCAUGGCUUCACGCCGGCGAUGGUUCAUUCAAAUUUCUGCCCUAUCAGCUUUCGAUGGUAGGAUCGAGGCCUACCAUGGCGUUUACGGGUAACGGAGAAUUAGGGUUCGAUUCCGGAGAGGGAGCCUGAGAGAUGGCUACCACAUCCAAGGAAGGCAGCAGGCGCGUAAAUUGCCCGAAUCCUGACACAGGGAGGUAGUGACAAGAAAUAACAAUACAGGGCUUCUAAAGUCUUGUAAUUGGAAUGAGUACAAUUUACAUCUCUUCACGAGGAUCAAUUGGAGGGCAAGUCUGGUGCCAGCAGCCGCGGUAAUUCCAGCUCCAAUAGCGUAUAUUAAAGUUGUUGCAGUUAGAACGCUCGUAGUCGGAUUUCGGGGCGUUCCGACCGGUCUGCCGAUGGGUACGCACUGGUCGGCGCGUCCUUCCUUCCGGAGACCGUGCCUACUCUUAACUGAGCGGGGGCGGGAGACGGAUCGUUUACUUUGAAAAAAUCAGAGUGUUUCAAGCAGGCAGCUCGCUCUUGCAUGGAUUAGCAUGGGAUAAUGAAAUAGGACUUUGGUGCUAUUUUGUU